GGGUGAUUAGCUCAGUUGGCUAGAGCAUCUCGUUUACACCGAGAGGGUCGGGGGUUCGAAUCCCUCAUCACCCACCA
RNAcentral lists this transfer RNA (77 nucleotides) under Candidatus Saccharimonadota bacterium. RNAcentral describes it as "tRNA-Val". It matches the Rfam family "tRNA". From Rfam's summary of the family: Transfer RNA (tRNA) molecules are approximately 80 nucleotides in length. RNAcentral also lists the same sequence under 3 other names. The record is from RNAcentral. Lineage: Bacteria; Candidatus Saccharimonadota.